GUGAGUAAGGGUGCUGUGUGUGAGGGGUGGAGUGUGUGUGCUGUGUUUGAGUGAGGGUGCAGGGGUGCAGUGUGAGUGUGCGCUGCGAGUGUCAGGGGUGCAGUGUGUGUGAGUGAGGGUGCUGUGAUUGUCAGGGGUGCAGUGUGUGUGCGUGAAGGUGCUGUGAUUGUCAGGGGUGCAGUGUGUGUGAGUGAGGGUGCUGUGUCAGGGAUGCAGUGUGUGUGUGUGAGUAAG
Non-coding RNA from Pelobates cultripes (western spadefoot toad), 234 nucleotides. The record is from the annotation of a GenBank genome assembly. Lineage: Eukaryota; Metazoa; Chordata; Amphibia; Anura; Pelobatidae.